RNAcentral lists this long non-coding RNA (1185 nucleotides) under Scophthalmus maximus (turbot). RNAcentral describes it as "lncRNA (ENSSMAG00000036340.1)". The record is from RNAcentral. Lineage: Eukaryota; Metazoa; Chordata; Actinopteri; Pleuronectiformes; Scophthalmidae.
AUCUAGCUGCAGGAUGUCCUUCCGCAGUCUGUGUGCUGUGUGGUGCUGUACAGUUGGCUGUGAGACUAUAACUCAGCAUUGGAAACUCAAUUCAGCCCAGUUUAUGGUGUCCGAGUCAGCCAUGACUGUGCAACAGUGUGCCAGCAUCACCCGGACCCCUUCAUUUUAUCAUUCACACUUGUGCUUUUCCUAAUGUAACAUGACACAAUGUCUGCUGUGACAAACCCCCAUGUGGUGAACCUUGAACCACAGAGGCAGAGCUGCUGAUGUCAGAUCCUGUUCCAGGUAGAAGAGGAAGUGUGUGUCCUACCUUCAUGUCUGUGCAGAGCGGGGUCAGAACCCUUCUGGCGUGAGAUUUCCUCGUCAUUUUCUCUGGUGGACAAAAUCAGAGAGAGAGAGAGAGAAAGUAAGAAAAUAUCUGUUGUACAUAUUAAUAUGAAUAGGCUCCAAAAUCUGAAAUCAGAAAGUGGUUUAAAUUAACUACUUCACUCCUGUGUGCCUCUCUUGCCAGCUUUAUUCUAAUUUCAGAUAUCCUUACAUUUUGGACAUAACCAACAUAAAAGUAAUAAUACCAAAAUAUUUAUGAAAAAAAAAACUGCAACUUGACUGGCAAGGCUUGUCCAUGCGUAUUCAUUCAGCUAUGAGUGGUGAACUCAGAGCCGGGCGUGUAGCCACCUCACUCACAUGAACGAAUCAAUGUAGAAAACUGCUGUAAUGAAUUCAGGAAGGCCUUGUCCUUGAACUUGUAACGAUGUUUGACAAGUACAUUUGUGCAAGGGGAGAAUACAGUACAUCUCGCCCUUUACUUAUCUUCCCUCAUUCUCAUUCGCUCAUGUGAUGAAAACUAGGACGAAUUAUUUAAAAAAUACUGUCUUUCCGUAAAGAAUCUGUUUAAAAAAUAAAAAGGUUUACUCCAUAAAAAGAGUACAAGAGCGGCGGUGUUUACCCUCCUGAUAAUUUACCUCUCUCUCCUGCCAUAUCUUAACACUAAUUACAGCUUCCUCUCUCUCUGUGCGACAGAAAGGUUGGGGAUGCAUUUUUAAGCAGGCUGACGCCAUCAAUAAUUCACACAGCAUCCACGGACAAUAUGUGCGCUUCUGUUUGCCAGAAUUUGUGAGUUUCUCUCAACUGUGCCUGCGUUGUGCAUCAGGUUCAUAUAUAAAAUUAUGGCUAGAGAAUCAUAUU